GCGGGUGUAGUUCAAUGGUAGAACACCAGCCUUCCAAGCUGGUUGCGUGGGUCCGAUUCCCAUCAUCCGCUCCA
RNAcentral lists this transfer RNA (74 nucleotides) under Clostridiales bacterium. RNAcentral's name for it is "tRNA-Gly". It matches the Rfam family "tRNA". Rfam says of the family: Transfer RNA (tRNA) molecules are approximately 80 nucleotides in length. Their secondary structure includes four short double-helical elements and three loops (D, anti-codon, and T loops). RNAcentral also lists the same sequence under 1 other name. The record is from RNAcentral. Lineage: Bacteria; Bacillati; Bacillota; Clostridia; Eubacteriales.